Long non-coding RNA from Oncorhynchus tshawytscha (Chinook salmon), 745 nucleotides. RefSeq lists it as uncharacterized. The record is from RefSeq and is a predicted model, not a curated record. The transcript has 4 exons. NCBI's taxonomy places the organism in Eukaryota, Metazoa, Chordata, Actinopteri, Salmoniformes, Salmonidae.
UGACUUGUUUUAUUUCAACUUUAAGUGGGUAGGGUAUACAGGGGAAGUACUGUAUAGUCAAGAUCUAGUGUAUUUGUGAAUUGCACACCAAUGUACUUUUGAGUUACUGUAAAUACCUAUUUGAGAACAAUUCAUGAUCAUAUGAUAAAAUCAAUUAACAUGCAAAAGAAACAAAAACUCUGAACUAACGUUUAAUACUAAUCACAGCCAAAUCCUGAAACGGCUCAACAUAAUAUACCUUACUAUAAGGAGGGAGAACAAAAACAUGCUAUUUUUUUGUAUAUAAUUUUACACAUGGGAACAAGAACCAGUUGAGUGUAAUAACAUUCCAUUGUUCACUCAUCGAAUAACAGGAAAUGUAGUCGGCAAGAGUGGAGGAAGAGAGAAAGGUACCAGCAAUACAACUCCGUCGGCAGAAGGUCCUGAAGGAGGAAACCGAGGCAAAGGAGGAUGGUGCUGCUAAACAGAAUUCCAGGUGUAGCACUUCUCUCAUCCUUUAAAAACAAGAAAGGGACAGUGACGCGGCCCUGGCAACAACACCAAAAAGAAAACAACACAUCAAGAAGUGCAAAAUCGAGGAUGUAUGAUCGGCAGCCUAGUCUGUGCAAGUCCGAUCUGUGAUGGAUUUGUUAUUAUAAAUGUACAGUACCGUUCAAAAGUUGGGGUCACUUAGAAAUGUCCUUGUCUUUGAAAGAAACACAUUUUUAUCCAUUAAAAUAACAUAAAAUUGAUCAGAAAUACAGUG